UCCACAAUGGAUCGAAAAGCCGCCUUUGGCCGAUGGAAUUUUCUUUUCCACCAUUGUUGGUUUUUGCUGCUCGGAAUGUAUACUUUUCGAUUUGAUUUUCGUAGGAACAGAUUCGUCCGAAGCUAUCCGAUGUUGAUUUUUGUAGCACUUCUUCAGUUGGCAGUGAUAAUCGCGAAGCCGUAUGAACUGAGACACUUUAUCGAGGAAUAUAUGCUUAACAGGCACUCCGUCAGUACGGUUGUUAUAGUUGUUCAGGUUUUCAUCGACGAGAUGAUGUUGGUUUUUAAAACUUACAUGGUGGUUUUCAAUAUGAUAAAUUUGGGGUGUUAUGAGAGACUUUUGAAUAAAAUCAUUACUAUGAAGAAUCGAAUCUGCACUUCCCAUGGUGGACCUGAACUCAACUUCAAAUACAACUUUAUUAAUAUUGUUGCAACAAUCAGUAUCGCUAUGGGUAGCUUGGCGAGAACAGGAAGUUUACUGUCUUUUGCAUGGAAUAUCACCGUGAACCAUUUAAUUUAUUUCGGGUUGUAUCUUCUGGUGGGCCAGUGCUUUAUUAUUUUAAACCCAUUUGUACAAAGCCUGGAGCAAUUCGAUAAAAGUGUUGGGAAAAUCUACUUUAAGUUAGCUUACUUUUCACAAAACUCUAUGAAUAACGAUUGCUAUAAACGAAUAAGGAAAAUUUCUAAAGAGCAUUCACAACUGUAUCGAAAUUUUCUUGAUAUCUUGAGUCUUUAUUCUUUUCAACUGUUGUCCUGGUACAUGUUAGUCAGCAAAGGUUUAUUGCUCAUAGUAAUCAAUAACCAGAAAAAAAAUAUAUCAGAAGAAUCAAAACCAUUUUUUCUCCUUUAGAUUUUCUACGAGUUCACGUCCGUCUAUUUUGCUUUGAAUGGGCAAGACUUCAACCGAACGGAGCACAUCACUCGAUGGAUGCUGAUAUGGAUCUACUGCUUCAUGAUACGUUCCAUUGUAGGAAUCUGGUCCACCGUGAGGGCAAAGCAAUGCAAUGUAUCCAAAGUGUUGCUUCGAACAACUUUGAUGAAAAUCGAUGAUACUCAAUUACGAGAAAUGGUAGGUACCUUACUACCUGGCACAUCCAGUUGAGGCAGUAGCGAGUUCGAUAAAAAUUGGUAUUGCUGAUUGUUUUGCAUUUGUACAAAUUGGAAGCAGCUUCGGUGCCUGCUGGUGCAGUUGAAGCACGAAACCUUUGACGCUCAAAUUGCCGGAAUAAUUGAAAUCAGACCCUCCAUCAAUGUGGAUAUUUUCGCCUCAAUCAUCAACACAUUGGUUCCGCUGAUGCAAUUUCACCUGCUCGGCGUCGCCCGGAAUUAAUCAGUUUUUCCUCCCGGGCGGCCAGCAGCAACGCGCUGAAACAGGCCAAUAAAGUCAAGUUCAAGGGUUCUCAUCAGCUGAGGCUGAAGAAUUCCACCAUCGUCGUUCCCUGGUCCUGGAUAAACUGCUGCUGCUGCUGCUUCUGAAUGAAACAAUCCGUUCGUUUUACCACCGAUAUUCUGCUGCUAGGAUGCUGCAAAACCCCCCAAAGCAAGAAGAGAACCAUCUACCUACUCAUCUCCUGCCCCCUCAGUCGAGUAGCUUUCGGACUUGUGCCUUGGAUCGAAUAAUCCACCAACAAUAGCCAGGUCGGCGCUUUUCUCGAGAACAAUAUGCAGUUAAUGAAGCAAGCCUUUUAUUCAUAUAUACAUAAAACGAUCUAAUAAAAGCGGUGCUACUCAGAUAAUUAUGAUCUUUUAUUAGAUUCAUUUAGCAUAAAAUUAACUUCCUUUUGUCUAACGUUCUAGCGUAAGCGCUCUUCUUCGGGCAUUGGAGUAGUGCCGUUGUAGGUGUGGAUCUUGUGUCGAAGUGUGAGCACUCGUAGAGUUGUGAAGACUGCACAGAUUACCGCCCGCUUCAACUUGCCCGGACCAUACUUAGUAAUUCUUCGGAAGAAGCCAAGUGAUGCAAAAGGAAAAGUGCUACCUAGCGGAAUUUUUUUUCUGCACCUGUACGCUCGACGCCUUGCACUGUAUCUACGCAAAACGAUUCGCGGCCACUGGAUUUUUAUGGUGCCGGGAUUGUGGCCAAGCUGAUUCAUCCCUCGCAGAUUAGUUUCCGGCUUGAUGCACUUCCUCUUUGGGCGCCAGUAAUUGUUGAAGAAGCUCCGCAGGAAAACCGGCAACGGAUGGAUUGGUUUGCAGUGAACACUAAAGUGGAAUGUAGCAAGAUCUAUUAAUUUU
This is a long non-coding RNA of Uranotaenia lowii, 2231 nucleotides long. RefSeq lists it as uncharacterized. The transcript is spliced from 4 exons. Lineage: Eukaryota; Metazoa; Arthropoda; Insecta; Diptera; Culicidae. The record is from RefSeq and is a predicted model, not a curated record.